UAGAGAGGUUCAGAUUUGACUUCCACUACCGCUACCGCUCACUUACUCUGUGUGAACCUGAUUGGUUAAUCCGGUAGAUCACACGCACCUGAUUGCAUAAUUGUCCCUUAGCGGUAGAGGAAGUGGAAGUCAAAUCUGAACCUCUCUA
Non-coding RNA from Paramuricea clavata, 148 nucleotides. The record is from the annotation of a GenBank genome assembly. NCBI's taxonomy places the organism in Eukaryota, Metazoa, Cnidaria, Anthozoa, Malacalcyonacea, Plexauridae.